UUAAGGAGUUUAAUAUACCUGGAGCUCUCUCACUACAAGAAAAUUAGUUUAUAACCACGCUUUUGUUAUGGCGUUUUUUCAAAAAACGUCGUUUUAAAGGUUUUCAAAAUAUUUUUGUAAAUAACUCAUUUUAAAAAACACGUGUGUUUUGGUGUACGAACAUAUUUUUCCUUUUAAGACCCACGCGUUUUUCAUUCUUCUAUUCUAUUUCACGUAGCAAUUGAUAGAUCUAGGUUUUCUAUCUCUUCAUCACUCCUCUUUCUUAUGUUGAAAGGUCACUGGAUCGAGCUUCGUAGGCUCCGAUUCACGAUCUGGUUCUCUCCAUCUUGGCUCAAAGCUCUCGAUCAGUCCGAUUUGAAGAUUAAUUUUGGUUAGUCUAUUGAGGCUAAUCUCUAUUGCGUUUGUGUACAGAGUCACAGAACCACCAUCACAACUAUACUGUGUCAAUCUUUGCAGCGAUGUCAAUCUUUGCAUUUGUGCUUGAACAGGUUUGGCUAGAACAGAACUGUGUUGUGUAUAGUCACAAUUGAGGCAAGGUUUUGGAGGCAGUUUCAAUUCAAGACUGCUAUGUAGUUCCAAAUCCCCCCCUCCUUUAGUUUCUUGGAGGAAAUCAUCCUUGGGAGUGGUCAAAACUUUGUAUUAGAGGUUAAGAAUCAUUGAUUAGAGGAAACGAAAACCUGUUGAGAAAUGUUAACAAUCCUUUCUACGUUUGUUUUGAUGUUUCAAAGAUAUGUUGUUGCUGAGGACACUUAAGUUUAACUGAAGUUUAAUAUCUUCCAAUGUAAUAGUUUUUAUUUGUUAUUUUUUUAUAAUACUGGAAACUAGUUAUUAGACCAUGGUAUUUAUCAUUAAUGUGCAUAUCUUUGCUGGAGCUUUUUCAUAAUGGUAAUUUCUGUAGGGUUGUAACCCUUUAGGCAUUCGAGGUUGAAGUUGGUAGUAAUGAUAAAGUGUUCCUGUUAAAGUUUGUGAAUUACUAGAUGCUAUUUCUGCGUAUGGUAUGAUCAAUUUUAUAUAAGAUCACAACUUAUCAUUGAAUAGGAUUGAAGGUUGGUGUAGUUAACAAUAAAGUGUUCCUAUUAAGGUUUGUGAACAACUAGAUGCUGUUUCUGCCUAUGGCGGAGCCAAGAUUUGAACACCUCAUUCUUAUAUUAGCUGCGAUAACAAAUGUGGAAUGGGAGCAUGUAGAUAUCUUUGAAAAUGAGGGUGAUGGGUGAUUCCAGUAUUGAAAGAAAAAUAUUUAUUUACUUAAAUAAGGCCCUCGCUCUCUUCGUUUUAAGGUACAAAUUGGAUACUUAUCUUCCAAUGUUGGGAGCUCAACAGAGUUAAAGGUCGCUCUAAGAAUGAGAUUUAGGAGGUUGAAAAUGGUUUGAAUGACACUACAACAAGCUGCAGCCCUAUCUGUUCUGACUUUAGCUGCUCUGGCUGUGGCUCGUACUGCAGCCUUGCUUGUGUUGACCUGGCCUGGUCUUGCUGCAGCUGGGGCUGCUGCGGCUGGGAAUGCUGCCUUGGCUGCAGUGGCUGGCUUUGGCUUAUGCUUUGUGUGAUCUGGCUUAUCAAAUCUGAAUUGGUGCUUGGUUGGUUGCCCCUAUAUGGUUUGCAGUUUUAGAUUGGAAUUUGUAAAACACAGGGUCACUUCAGAAUGUUGAAGCAUGUCAUGGUUAGUUCAUUU
This is a non-coding RNA of Camellia sinensis, 1669 nucleotides long. Lineage: Eukaryota; Viridiplantae; Streptophyta; Magnoliopsida; Ericales; Theaceae. The record is from RefSeq and is a predicted model, not a curated record.